AGAUGUGUAUAAGAGACAGACCGUACGCCUGCAAUCAGCGGAAGCCCGCGGCGAAAGCCGGGGUGACCGCGUACCUUUUGUAUAAUGGGUCAGCGAGUUGAUCUUGCGGGCAAGCUUAAGCCAGACGGCGUAGGCGCAGCGAAAGCGAGUCUGAAGAGGGCGUCCAGUCCGCGGGAUCAGACCCGAAACCGGGUGAUCUAGCCAUGGCCAGGUUGAAGGUGGGGUAACACCCACUGAAGGACCGAACCCACUGAUGUUGAAAUAUCAGGGGAUGAGCCGUGGCUAGGGGUGAAAGGCCAAUCAAACCCGGAGAUAUCUGGUUCUCCGCGAAAGCUAUUUAGGUAGCGCGUCGGACAAUAUCGCCGCCGGGGGUAGAGCACCGGAUGGGCUAGGGGGGCGCGAGCCUUACCAAACCCAACCAAACUCCGAAUACCGGCGAGCGCGAAUCCGGCAGACAGACGGCGGGUGCUAAGAUCCGUCGUCGAGAGGGAAACAACCCAGACCGCCGGCUAAGGUCCCCAAGUUGUGGUUAAGUGGGAAAGGAUGUGAGAAGGCCAAGACAGCCAGGAGGUUGGCUUAGAAGCAGCCAUCAUUUAAAGAAAGCGUAACAGCUCACUGGUCUAAAUCUUAAGCCUUCCCGCGCCGAAAAUGUAACGGGUCUCAAACCACACACCGAAGCCGCGGGCGAUGUCUCUGUUUAUCGGGGGCGUCGCGGUAGCGGAGCGUUCCGUACGCCGAUGAAGCGCGACUCGCGAGAGCGCGUCAAGGACACGGAAGCGCGAAUGCUGACAUGAGUAGCGACCAGGGAGGUGAAAACCCUCCCCGCCGAAAGUCCAAGGGUUCCUGCGCAAGGUCAAUCCGCGCAGGGUGAGCCGGCCCCUAAGUCCAGGGCGAAAGCCGCAGACGAUGGGAACCGGGUUAACAUUCCCGGGCCCGCGGGUGGUGACGGAUGAUGUACAUCGUUCGCGCGCGACGGAUCGCGCGGGCGGUCGGAUCGUUCCAGGAAACAGCCCCCGCACAGGACCGUACCCCAAACCGACACAGGUGGACAGGUAGAGCAUACCAAGGCGCUUGAGAGAACCAUGCUGAAGGAACUCGGCAACUUGCCUCCGUAACUUCGGGAGAAGGAGGCCCCGCCGGCGGGCAACCGCGGGCGGGGGGCACAAGCCAGGGAGUGGCGACUGUUUAUCAAAAACACAGGACUCUGCCAAGCCGAUCAAGGCGACGUAUAGGGUCUGACGCCUGCCCGGUGCCGGAAGGUCAAGAGGAGGAGUGCAAGCUCCGAAUCGAAGCCCCGGUAAACGGCGGCCGUAACUAUAACGGUCCUAAGGUAGCGAAAUUCCUUGUCGGGUAAGUUCCGACCUGCACGAAUGGCGUAACGACCGCUUCGGUGUCUCCAGCGUGGACUCAGCGAAAUUGAAUUCUCCGUGAAGAUGCGGAGUACCCGCGGUUAGACGGAAAGACCCUAUGCACCUUUACUGCAGCUUUGCAUUGACGUCAGAGCCGGUCUGUGCAGGAUAGGCGGGAGACUUCGAAGUCCGGGCGCCAGCCCGGGCGGAGUCGUCCUUGAGAUACCGCCCUGACCUGUUCUGGCGCCUAACCCGCGACCGUGAAUCCGGCGCGGGGACCCUGCAUGGCGGGUAGUUUGACUGGGGCGGUCGCCUCCCAAAAAGUAACGGAGGCGCGCGACGGUGGGCUCAGGCUGGUCGGAAACCAGCCGCCGAGCGCAAUGGCACAAGCCCGCCUGACUGCGAGAUCGACGGAUCGAGCAGAGACGAAAGUCGGCCAUAGUGAUCCGGUGGUUCCAUGUGGACGGGCCAUCGCUAAACGGAUAAAAGGUACGCUAGGGAUAACAGGCUAAUCUCCCCCAAGAGUCCUCAUCGACGGGGAGGUUUGGCACCUCGAUGUCGACUCAUCGCAUCCUGGGGCUGGAGAAGGUCCCAAGGGUAUGGCUGUUCGCCAUUUAAAGCGGUACGCGAGUUGGGUUCAGAACGUCGUGAGACAGUU
RNAcentral lists this ribosomal RNA (2007 nucleotides) under Alphaproteobacteria bacterium. Its description in RNAcentral is "partial 23S ribosomal RNA". It matches the Rfam family "Bacterial large subunit ribosomal RNA", at positions 534 to 2631 of the family's 2925-position model. Lineage: Bacteria; Pseudomonadati; Pseudomonadota; Alphaproteobacteria. The record is from RNAcentral.